Molecule: ribosomal RNA, 254 nt
Filed under: uncultured bacterium
Lineage: Bacteria
Description: partial 16S ribosomal RNA
Rfam family: Bacterial small subunit ribosomal RNA
Source: RNAcentral
UACAGAGGUCUCAAGCGUUGUUCGGAUUCAUUGGGCGUAAAGGGUGUGUAGGUGGCGCCGUAAGUCGGGUGUGAAAUUUCGGAGCUUAACUCCGAAACUGCAUUCGAUACUGCGGUGCUUGAGGACUGGAGAGGAGACUGGAAUUCAUGGUGUAGCAGUGAAAUGCGUAGAGAUCAUGAGGAAGACCAGUGGCGAAGGCGGGUCUCUGGACAGUUCCUGACACUGAGUGAGCGAAAGCCAGGGGAGCAAACGGG